CCUCUCAGUUCGGACUGGAGUCUGCAACCCGACUCCACGAAGCUGGAUUCGCUAGUAAUCGCGCAUCAGCCACGGCGCGGUGAAUACGUUCCCGGGCCUUGUACACACCGCCCGUCAAGCCAUGGGAGCCGGGGGUACCUGAAGUGCGUAACCGCGAGGAUCGCCCUAGGGUAAAACUGGUGACUGGGGCUAAGUCGUAACAAGGUAAC
This 209-nucleotide ribosomal RNA is filed under the name uncultured bacterium. RNAcentral describes it as "partial 16S ribosomal RNA". It matches the Rfam family "Bacterial small subunit ribosomal RNA", at positions 1284 to 1500 of the family's 1533-position model. The record is from RNAcentral.